Molecule: ribosomal RNA, 485 nt
Filed under: uncultured bacterium
Lineage: Bacteria
Description: partial 16S ribosomal RNA
Rfam family: Bacterial small subunit ribosomal RNA
Source: RNAcentral
GAUGAACGCUAGCGAUAGGCUUAACACAUGCAAGUCGAGGGGCAGCGCGGGUAGCAAUACCUGUCGGCGACCGGCGCACGGGUGAGUAACGCGUAUGUAACCUGCCCGCAACAGGGGGAUAACCCGGCGAAAGUCGGACUAAUACCGCAUAAAACAGGGGUCCCGCAUGGGAAUAUUUGUUAAAGAUUUAUCGGUUGCGGAUGGGCAUGCGUACCAUUAGGUAGUUGGUGAGGUAACGGCUCACCAAGCCUUCGAUGGUUAGGGGUUCUGAGAGGAAGGUCCCCCACACUGGUACUGAGACACGGACCAGACUCCUACGGGAGGCAGCAGUGAGGAAUAGUGGUCAAUGGGCGAGAGCCUGAACCAGCCAAGUCGCGUGAAGGAUGACUGCCCUAUGGGUUGUAAACUUCUUUUACAAGGGAAUAAAAUGAGAUACGUGUAUUUUAUUGCAUGUACCUUGGGAAUAAGCAUCGGCUAACUCCGUG